UCGGAUAUGGUGUAAAGGCUAACACCGCCGCCCCCCACGCGGCAGCUCGGGGUUUGGUUCCCCGUAUCCGAA
RNAcentral lists this transfer RNA (72 nucleotides) under Armillaria ostoyae. Lineage: Eukaryota; Fungi; Basidiomycota; Agaricomycetes; Agaricales; Physalacriaceae. The record is from RNAcentral.